This 463-nucleotide ribosomal RNA is filed under the name uncultured bacterium. RNAcentral's name for it is "bacterial SSU rRNA". It matches the Rfam family "Bacterial small subunit ribosomal RNA", at positions 69 to 518 of the family's 1533-position model. The record is from RNAcentral.
CAGCAUGAUUCUAGCUUGCUAGAAUGACUGGCGACCGGCGCACGGGUGAGUAACGCGUGUCCAACCUGGGCCCUUAGUAGGGGAUAGCCCGGCGAAAGUCGGAUUAAUACCCUAUGUUCUCCGUUGAUGACAUCUGAGAUGGAGCAAAGACUUGUCGCUAAGGGAUGGGGAUGCGUCUGGACUUAGGUAGUCGGCGGGGUAACGGCCCACCGAGCCUUCGAUCAGUAGGGGUUCUGAGAGGAAGGUCCCCCACAUUGGAACUGAGACACGGUCCAAACUCCUACGGGAGGCAGCAGUGAGGAAUAUUGGUCAAUGGGCGAGAGCCUGAACCAGCCAAGUAAGCGUGCAGGAUGACGGCCCUAUGGGUUGUAAACUGCUUUUGGAGGGGAAUAAAGUCACCUACGCGUAGGUGUUUGUAUGUACCCUCAGAAUAAGGACCGGCUAAUUCCGUGCCAGCCGCGGC